CUUGUUCCCUGGUGGAGGUUUCAAAACAAUUCUUCCCAAGAGGGUGCAUCUCAUGUUCCUUUGAGAGUGAUGAUUCAAGGGAACACUAUAAAGCUGUGAAAAACCGAGUCUAUAUCAAAUUCGGAGAGCUGAAGAUGAAGAGAUGAUUGGUUAGGGGCCGCAGGCAAAAUGGAACAGAAUCUUAGGGAAACAAGAGAGGAUACAAGUGGAGAAGAAACUAAAGCAGCUAGGAACCUUGGUACUUCAUGAGAUUGUGCAGACCAGGGCCAGGUUCUGGAACAUGGAUGAUCUAGAUUCUGCUUCCAACUGGACCAGCUGCUCCUGGGACCUAUGAAGAACUGGUAUCUAGAAGAGGAGAUUAUAAUCCAUUAGCCCUGGGGCUUUGGAAGGAGCGAGAAGUCACCACCUGAGACCGGUCAAUCUGCAUGUGUCUUCCUCACCACUGGGGCACAGCCCUGCUCUCACACCCGAGGAGCACUUGCUCAAGAGGCCUGAGCUCCGGCCUUGUCCAUCCCAAGGCAAUGGGAGUGGGCACCAAGGCCAGGAGAUGAAGACUCUAAGAAGCAACAGCUCCCCUCCAGUUUUAUGCUGCUGCAGGAGCCCGGAUACCCUCUGCCCUGGGUUGGGACCAUUCCAGAUGCUCUACCUAGAUCUCUUGGAGGCGGCAGCCCAUCAAGCACGGUGUGAGUGGAGCGGAAGAGGGGCAGCGCUCAGGGGGAGUGGAAGGAGCUCGGAGCCCAAGUCAGCGCUGGGCUCGUGUCCUCUUUCCGUCUCUGACUUGCCGUGCAGCCCUAGACAAGUCACUUCACUUCUCUGAGCUUCAGUGUCCUCUUCUGAAAGGUGAAGUUAACAAGAACACUGACCUCACCGGGGCAAAUGAAAAACUGGAUGUGAAAGGGUUUUGUAAACUGUAACGUGAGGUGAUUUCAUUGAUCAUCUGAAGGCGGGGAAUUACCUGAAGGCAGGGAAAGGAGUCCUAGGCCAGGUGAAAAUUCACUUUGCCAACCUCAACAUUGUACUAAGUGUUGGCCCUGCAAAAAAAGCCUGAUACAACUGGACAUUCUCUUAUUAUAGAAAAUGACAAAUUUGUGUUUGAUGCCAGAGUUGUCACAUUCCUUCAGGAGUGCAGACUUUUAUGGGCCCCUGACAGCUCUGCCCGGACUAUUUCUGAGGACAGGGACAUUGUGCCUUAUUGGCAAGGCUUAUUAAACCAGGGCCACUUGUGGUCAUUGAAGAAUCUAGGUCUGCCUUUGCAAUGGUGGGAAAGAGUUGUCAGAUCCUGUCCUCUGAUGUUUGUGGAUUUGAUUACAUGGCUCUGCUAAGCUUGGUGCCUUUUGCUUCCUUGUUUGGUGAGGGUCUUUUUCUAGUCUAGUUAGGGGGACUGAGAAGUGGGAGAAGAGAAUGGAGCAGGUCCGAAUCAAAGACAAGCAGCAGAGGUAGAAAUGAGUAAGAAUAAUAUGUUCUCUCUGGGAAUUUGUACAAGGACAAGGCUAAUGAGACUUUGUUUUCAAUUACUUAAAAUAUAGUCUGUCAUUGAAAAGAUGAUGUAAUGGCUUUAAAACAGAAAACAAGCCAGAGUCUUACAGCACAUUCAACUACUUGUAUUUUUGCACAUUCUUGCCUAUUUCUGUUGUCAUCAUCAUGCAUGCAUAAUGCACAUUUCAUUUUAUGGCCUGAUUUUUUUCACUUAACAUUAGAUAAUAAGCAUUUUCCUUUUAAAGUCUGCAUUUUAGUGAAUAGACAAUCUAAUUUUGGAUACUGUAUGAUAA
Long non-coding RNA from Zalophus californianus (California sea lion), 1769 nucleotides. RefSeq lists it as uncharacterized. Lineage: Eukaryota; Metazoa; Chordata; Mammalia; Carnivora; Otariidae. The record is from RefSeq and is a predicted model, not a curated record. The transcript has 3 exons.